CAGAGAUGGCUUGGUGCUCGAAAGAGAGCCUGGACACAGGUGCUGCAUGGCCGUCGUCAGCUCGUGUCGUGAGAUGUUGGGUUAAGUCCCGCAACGAGCGCAACCCUUGUCAUUAGUUGCUACGAAAGGGCACUCUAAUGAGACUGCCGGUGACAAACCGGAGGAAGGUGGGGAUGACGUCAGGUCCUCAUGGCCCUUAUGGGUAGGGCUACACACGUCAUACAAUGGCCGGUACAGAGGGCUGCCAACCCGCGAGGGGGAGCCAAUCCCAGAAAACCGGUCGUAGUCCGGAUCGUAGUCUGCAACUCGACUGCGUGAAGUCGGAAUCGCUAGUAAUCGCGGAUCAGCUUGCCGCGGUGAAUACGUUCCCGGGUCUUGUACACACCGCCCGUCACACCAUGGG
RNAcentral lists this ribosomal RNA (403 nucleotides) under uncultured bacterium. RNAcentral describes it as "bacterial SSU rRNA". It matches the Rfam family "Bacterial small subunit ribosomal RNA", at positions 1001 to 1408 of the family's 1533-position model. The record is from RNAcentral.